Molecule: ribosomal RNA, 853 nt
Filed under: Streptomyces sp.
Lineage: Bacteria; Bacillati; Actinomycetota; Actinomycetes; Kitasatosporales; Streptomycetaceae
Description: bacterial SSU rRNA
Rfam family: Bacterial small subunit ribosomal RNA
Source: RNAcentral
UGCAGUCGAACGAUGAAGCCCUUCGGGGUGGAUUAGUGGCGAACGGGUGAGUAACACGUGGGCAAUCUGCCCUUCACUCUGGGACAAGCCCUGGAAACGGGGUCUAAUACCGGAUAACACUCUGUCCCGCAUGGGACGGGGUUGAAAGCUCCGGCGGUGAAGGAUGAGCCCGCGGCCUAUCAGCUUGUUGGUGGGGUGAUGGCCUACCAAGGCGACGACGGGUAGCCGGCCUGAGAGGGCGACCGGCCACACUGGGACUGAGACACGGCCCAGACUCCUACGGGAGGCAGCAGUGGGGAAUAUUGCACAAUGGGCGAAAGCCUGAUGCAGCGACGCCGCGUGAGGGAUGACGGCCUUCGGGUUGUAAACCUCUUUCAGCAGGGAAGAAGCGAGAGUGACGGUACCUGCAGAAGAAGCGCCGGCUAACUACGUGCCAGCAGCCGCGGUAAUACGUAGGGCGCAAGCGUUGUCCGGAAUUAUUGGGCGUAAAGAGCUCGUAGGCGGCUUGUCACGUCGGAUGUGAAAGCCCGGGGCUUAACCCCGGGUCUGCAUUCGAUACGGGCAGGCUAGAGUGUGGUAGGGGAGAUCGGAAUUCCUGGUGUAGCGGUGAAAUGCGCAGAUAUCAGGAGGAACACCGGUGGCGAAGGCGGAUCUCUGGGCCAUUACUGACGCUGAGGAGCGAAAGCGUGGGGAGCGAACAGGAUUAGAUACCCUGGUAGUCCACGCCGUAAACGUUGGGAACUAGGUGUUGGCGACAUUCCACGUCGUCGGUGCCGCAGCUAACGCAUUAAGUUCCCCGCCUGGGGAGUACCGCGCAAGGCUAAAACUCAAAGGAUUGACGGGGCCCGCACAA